This 876-nucleotide long non-coding RNA is filed under the name Lepeophtheirus salmonis (salmon louse). RNAcentral's name for it is "uncharacterized LOC121124590". The record is from RNAcentral. Lineage: Eukaryota; Metazoa; Arthropoda; Copepoda; Siphonostomatoida; Caligidae.
UCAUUGUUCAUUCCAGGCCAGAAAAUUGACUCUCUCGCUCUUCUCUUGGUUUUAGUCAUUCUUUGAUGCAACGAAUUUAGUUUAGCAAGGAUGUCUCACUGACAAGCUUUAGGAACAACAAUUCAUGUUCCUUUCAAUACUAAACCGUCCUCAACAGCUAAUUCUUCGAUCAUAUUCUUAAAUAAUCUUACGAUCAUCUACUGGAGCUCGUGACAAAGCAUUUCUUAUAAUAUGGUAUUUUCAUUUAUUCCAAUGGUUCACUAACAUUGGAUAUCCAAAGAAUCUUUGAGCUGGUAAUGCCGAAGGCACAUUCUAAUUUUCUAUACUAUGGCUUUUUUCAAUUUGGUUUAAAGAAUAGUUAUUGAAGAUAAUCCAGAGAGAAUGAUGAUAAGCUAUUACUUCGAAGUCCCGUAGUCCAGUCCAAGACCUUUUAACCUGGAUGCAUCCGUUUUGAGGGGUGUUUCCUUCUUCAGAUCGAAAAUGACGAGGAUAGGGUUAUUUGUCAAUAUGUCUUUUACUUCUUCCAUAGCUUUAGUAUGUGUAUUGUUCCAUAUAAAUUCAUUGAUCGCCUAUAACUUCCUUUCAUCCGAUGCUAUCCCAUCUUUACAAAUUUUAUAGGCAACCAAAUUGAUUUUCUUCACGUGCCAAUUUAAAUUUCUCCUGCUCAGCGUAAUAUCAUAUUCUCUAUAUCUUAAUAAUAUUUUUCGUUCACUUUCAACAUGUCAUUCGAAAUUUUCAUAAUCCAUAAGGACGUCAUCAACAACUUUAUGAGUAUUAGAAUUCCUUCUAAUACCUGAUCGCAUGUACAAUUAUAUCUAUCACCAGUAGAAAUGACACACAUUAAUGCUCUCUUCAAAUAAAAUUUACAACACUGUA